RNAcentral lists this ribosomal RNA (253 nucleotides) under uncultured bacterium. RNAcentral describes it as "partial 16S ribosomal RNA". It matches the Rfam family "Bacterial small subunit ribosomal RNA", at positions 524 to 776 of the family's 1533-position model. The record is from RNAcentral.
UACGUAGGGGGCAAGCGUUGUCCGGAAUCAUUGGGCGUAAAGCGCGUGUAGGCGGCCCGGUAAGUCCGCUGUGAAAGUCGGGGGCUCAACCCUCGAAUGCCGGUGGAUACUGUCGGGCUAGAGUGCGGAAGAGGCGAGUGGAAUUCCUGGUGUAGCGGUGAAAUGCGCAGAUAUCAGGAGGAACACCAAUGGCGAAGGCAGCUCGCUGGAACGGUACUGACGCUGAGGCGCGAAAGCGUGGGGAGCAAACAGG